This is a long non-coding RNA of Triticum aestivum (bread wheat), 4278 nucleotides long. RefSeq lists it as uncharacterized. The record is from RefSeq and is a predicted model, not a curated record. The transcript has 6 exons. Lineage: Eukaryota; Viridiplantae; Streptophyta; Magnoliopsida; Poales; Poaceae.
AACCAUGAGAAAAAAACCUACGAAAAAAGCCUACAAAAAAAAAUCGACGACUCGCACCACAAGCGAGCGAGGGGUUCAGAGUGCCCUCGAUUCCCAUCCAGGAUCCCUUCGCUGCCGCCCUCGCUCGCACAUCAAGCGCCCUUGAUCCUGCGCCGCCGAACCUUCACCGUCAGCGAUCCCUUCGGGACUCCUCCGCCAGCCAUGCCUUACCCUCCUCUGUGUGCUGGUGGUGGUGAUGCAGCGCGUCAUCGAUCGCGAGAUCGGCAAGCCCAAGUACCGCUGCGCUUGGGUCUGUGUCGACACGGCCGCGGACGGCGGUUGCAGGACGACCGAGUGUGGCCUCCAGUACUCAACGCAAGAUCAGAUCGGCACCUGCCCGAUCCCCAUCCGAGUCCAGGGCAGGCCGUGCCGUCCGCGGUGACCGGCCAUGCUUCAGCCUUCAGGUGCUCCGGCCUGAAUCUAGGGCCGUCAGGACCGCCUCCCAGCCGUUCGACGGUUUGCCUGACUCGGCUUCCAGCAUGUAUGUAUGAUCGGUCUUACCCCGCUGCCUUCCUCUUCACCAGAGCCAAGUAUGUAUGAUCUAUCAUUGUACAUUAGCUAGCUAGGAGAUGUCAUGUUCGUGCUUUUUGUCAUCUUCCUGAACACGCAUCUGAAUGUUUGUGCAUUGGAAUGGCGGGUCUUUCGGAUCAACUGUUCCAUGCUACGACCUCAGUUUUUAAUUUGACUGACUAUCUACAAUUCUACACAUGCUCUUCAAGAUUGUUCCUGUGAGUUUCUUUAAAACCUAUUUGCACACCUAGCUAGAUCAUACAGCUGUUAACGUAUGGAGUUUUUUUUGAGAUCUGUUUAUCUCAGGGCUCUGACACGCCGGUUCCAUUUAAACAGUUUUUAGAGCUAGCAUUUUUCUGUUUUUUAUAUGGAUGAUAUGCAAAAGUAUUUAACACUGCAUUUUUUACCCAUAACUUGGUUGUGUUAAUUAAUAGUACAAACUACAUUGGACUUGUAUGUGGAUUUGAUUUGGACUUUCUGUACAUAGUCGGCUAAACGGUAUUACUUCUAAUCAUCAGUAACUUGUAUGUGGAUUUGAUUUGGACUUUCUGUACAUAAUUUUUUAAUAAAAAACACAUAUUAACUUAGUUAUCUAAACUAAUUCCUUUUCAUUUAUAUAACCUUACGACUUUGAUACACAGUUCUUGUGGCACCAGCGGCCAACUGGGAUAACAAACAAACCAGUGCAUGACAAUCUGAAGAGCCAGCAGGGGAAGUGAGUCACCUAUGAGAUAUGCACAACAGCACAACCCUCAGGCAGAAAACUAUCCCCCCAUUGGUGGUUAGCUGAUCUCAGUAUCUUAUGUAUUGCAUGAAACUUAUAGGGAAGCUCAUGUGAAAUAUGACUUUAGACAGCCUGUGUACAUGGUCAGCAAGCCACCUAUGGGACCACUGUUUUCCUGUAAUAUAUUUUCUUUGUAUUAAUAUGAACUGCAGAUCUCUUUUUUUGUUGAUAUCUUCGCUGGCGUAAUGCAUCUGAUCGGUAAGCAUUAGGAUUCAUUCAUUGUCUUUCUUUUGCUGGUUUUAGCGAAGGUGUAUUCAUGUGAGCCGAUCGAAUUCCUUCCUUUUCUUGCCUUCAACUACCUGAUGCAUGUUGCUUAUGGUUUUUUAGUCAUCAAUUUACCUUUCCGUGCAAAAACAUAUGUACCUUUGCCAUUUCUUUUGCAGAUACUGGUGAUGAGCUCAACAGCAGCAUCAUUGUUGGUAAAUACCAUCAGCACUUACAGUCUACUCCACCUACAAAGAGCUAUGGCAAGGUGCACACUUUAGUGAUGAGCUGGGAAGAGAAUGAAGUUUGUUUUUUAUCUUGUCUGGUCGUAGAUCGAGUGACAUGAAGGAUGCUGGCUGUUGGUGCUCGUUCAUCAGGAUCAUCUGAAUAAUGUUUUUCCAACACAUUCUGAUGUCUUCUCAAUUGUGCACCGGGCUCUUCUUUUAGCCAAGGACUUCUGAUAAAUAAUAAUCUAGGCAAUAAUUGAAUCCCAAGGACCCAUUGAAUUUAGAAAUGGACUCUUAUGAUGUCGGACCCCAGAAAUUCCAAUAAGCAGAGACGAUGUUUUAUUUUCUUUGUCGGUGACACAACCAAAGGGAACAUAUGAUAUUGCUACAUGCAAACUAAAAGAUAUAGCAGGAAAUGGCAAACCAGAAGGAUGAGUUAGAUGAAAAGUUUCUAGCUGAUUACCGAGGUACUACUCAACCAUAAAUCUGUAGGAAUUGCUGUUGUUUUGCGAGCAGAGAGUGGAUACUUAUAAGGAGGAAGUUGAAGCGAUGCCAACGCUUGCAAAGGAAGUGACUUUAGCUGCAACUAGGUGUGACUGGGUGCUCUGUCCUUGCCUUUAUGUGUUGUCUCCUUUGUGCAACAUCCUAGCUAAGAUUUAUUAUAUUCUCACUCGCUGAUUAAGCAACUCUUGGAAACUAAGAUGCCAACAAUCCUAAGAAGAGCAAGAUGUUGACUAAUGCACCCUCUGUCGCUGCUCCUGCCAAAGCUUGCUUCUCUUUUGGUAGCAAGAGAAGUCUCAAGGUCGAAUUUUGGGGCCGGGAAGCACUAGGUUCUCUGGUGGCCUACCACUAAGUAUCAAAGGCAUUUUCAUAUGGUUUUUUCCCGUCAGUAAGAUGGCAAUUACAUUUACCAACCGAAAGGUAUGGUGCUUUCUUAAUUGAUGUAAAUGAAGGUAGCUCAAGAAUAUCUCAAUUCGCAUCAUGCAUUAGUACUCCAUAGUGUGUAUAUGUGUACUUGUAUUUAGAAUUUAGUUGGUACUCCCUCCCUCCGUCUUAUAUUGUGGGACGAAGUAGUAUUUAUUUAGAACAUGUUAUACAAAAAAGAGUGGCGUUAGAUGGUGUACUAUUUAUUUUGGUUGUCCCAAACAAACUCUGCGCUAUAUCAUUCUUUCUGCUACUCAGAGCCUCUUUGAUUCAAAGAAUUUUUCAUAGGUUUUUUACAUGAUUUUUUCCUAAGGAAACAUUUCUACUACAAUUAGGACAACAUUGGUCUUCAUCUUGUUGGACACCCCUGUUUGGCGUCUGUUUGAUGUCCAUCCGGACAUACGAGCAAGAAAUGAGUUUCGACCUUAAAGAUGAUCUUAAUCAUUUGUUCGAUUCAUAUUUAUGUAUUAUAGCCCGUAGCAACGCACGGGCGUUCUACUAUAUGGGAUAGCGCAUCACAGAGCCAGGUACAUCUGCUUCAUUUUACAUGACUCGACUUACUUGCUUUACAAAAAUAUUGCAGCAGAAAUAUUUUCCUUUGACUAUGGCUUCAUAGAUCUCUCUGAAUCUUAGGUUUCAUGUUACUCACCACUGUUUUUAUCAAUGGUGUAACAUAGGUUUGAAGAUUAUUUCUCCAACGAUGUGGAGCCGCUGACGCUUACUCUCCCUGAAGACUCAGUGGCCAGCUCAGUUUGUCAGGUUCUCUGAAAAGGCAUUCAAGAAGGGAUGAAGCAAUCUUCUACUUAAUUUGGGAGCUCUUCCUUGUCAUUGCUAAUGAUACUAUGAUACUCUGAUUCCAUGAGUCCAUGAAACAAGCAAUAAUCUAUCUCAAAAAUGCGUGUCCAAGCAUAUAACAGUACUACAACUUACGAGUUCUGACUAUGGAUAUGUAGCACGUUGACAAGACGAGAAUAAUGCCUCUAAGGCAUUUGUCCCAGCUAUGCUGCUUCCCAUCAAACUCGAGCUUAGCGCUCCGUCUGCACUCGAGCACAGCUGUCGGCCAUCAGCUCGCUCGAGCAAACACCCUGGCCGUCCGCGCACGAUCUCCUCCCAGCCUUCUGGCAUGUUAUUUUUUGCAUGCAAGGCUAAGCUAUCUCCACCGGCUCCUUUUUCUGUUCGAGCUCCUCCCUACCCUGGCAAAUCCAAAUGCUACCAUCUCCUUUCCUUGGCAUGCUAAAACUUAUGUCAGUUCAUUGUCAUGGAUAGAUUAGUGAGAAUGGGAUUGGGAUCUUUACACUACAGAGGACGAGGAGCUAUAUGGGCUACGACAUGUUGCUUGAGGUGUGGUUCUGGGACCUGCUGUUGUUCAAAUUACAGUUCCCUUAUUUAGAACUAGGCAUUCCCACUGAUACUGACCAGACUUGGAGCAUUUCCAGCAGUGGCAGUAGACACAUGUGGCACCACUUCUUGGUAGAUUUUGUCCAUUUACUUUUUGUAUCCUUUGAAUUAGAAUAUUCUGUGCAAGAUUUGAGUUUGAAUCUGGUCAAUAUUCUGUGCAAGUCAAAUUAGGUCUGAGUUUUCUUGAAGUUC